GACGAAGGUGGCUAGCGUUGUUCGGAAUCACUGGGCUUAAAGCGCACGCAGGCGGCCUGUUAAGUGCCUUGUGAAAUCCCCCGGCUCAACCGGGGAAUCGCUGGGCAUACUGGCGGGCUUGAGGCAGGUAAGGGCGCGUGGAACUCUUGGUGGAGCGGUGAAAUGCGUAGAUAUCAAGAGGAACGCCGGAGGUGAAGACGACGCGCUGGGCUUGUCCUGACGCUGAGGUGCGAAAGCCAGGGGAG
Molecule: ribosomal RNA, 245 nt
Filed under: uncultured bacterium
Lineage: Bacteria
Description: partial 16S ribosomal RNA
Rfam family: Bacterial small subunit ribosomal RNA
Source: RNAcentral